GUAACACUUACGUUCACCAAAGAGACCAUGCCCAGGGGUCUGAGUAUUGAGGCAGUGUGUAAGCAGCUGAGACAACUGUACGUGGUCAAGAAUGUGUCCUCUGAGUAUUCUGUUUCCAUAACCUGUGACCCUUCAACCUCCGCCAGCAACGAGAUCCAUCUCAGUAUCUACACAGUGGACCAGUUGAUGGACAGAUCCCCUAUAAAGGAGAUAACAGAG
Oncorhynchus masou masou (cherry salmon) is the source of this 219-nucleotide long non-coding RNA. RefSeq lists it as uncharacterized. The transcript has 3 exons. NCBI's taxonomy places the organism in Eukaryota, Metazoa, Chordata, Actinopteri, Salmoniformes, Salmonidae. The record is from RefSeq and is a predicted model, not a curated record.